CCUACGGGAGGCAGCAGUGAGGAAUAUUGGUCAAUGGACGAGAGUCUGAACCAGCCAAGUAGCGUGAAGGAUGACUGCCCUAUGGGUUGUAAACUUCUUUUAUAUGGGAAUAAAACGUUCCACGUGUGGGAUUUUGUAUGUACCAUAUGAAUAAGGAUCGGCUAACUCCGUGCCAGCAGCCGCGGUAAUAUGGAGGAACCGAGCUUUAUCCGGAUUUAUUGGGUUUAAAGGGAGCGUAGGUGGAUUGUUAAGUCAGUUGUGAAAGUUUGCGGCUCAACCGUAAAAUUGCAGUUGAAACUGGCAGUCUUGAGUACAGUAGAGGUGGGCGGAAUUCGUGGUGUAGCGGUGAAAUGCUUAGAUAUCACGAAGAACUCCGAUUGCGAAGGCAGUUCACUGGACUGCAACUGACACUGAGGCUCGAAAGUGUGGGUAUCAAACAGGAUUAGAUACCCUGGUAGUC
RNAcentral lists this ribosomal RNA (460 nucleotides) under uncultured bacterium. Its description in RNAcentral is "partial 16S ribosomal RNA". It matches the Rfam family "Bacterial small subunit ribosomal RNA", at positions 338 to 795 of the family's 1533-position model. The record is from RNAcentral.